Vicia villosa (hairy vetch) is the source of this 529-nucleotide long non-coding RNA. RefSeq lists it as uncharacterized. The record is from RefSeq and is a predicted model, not a curated record. Lineage: Eukaryota; Viridiplantae; Streptophyta; Magnoliopsida; Fabales; Fabaceae. The transcript has 3 exons.
AGCCAACCAGGUCGACCCUAGGCGACUCUGAGCCAACCACAUUGACUCUGAUUGGUAGGAAGAGAAAGGUCCCACUCUUUCCCAAACCUUUCUAAUAGGGAAAUAAUGGGUAAAACUCCAAAGUAUUUUUGUGCUAUGAUUUUAUUUCUUUUCAUGCUCCUUCUUUUAAAGGAGGUUGAUGCAUAUCGUAAAUGUGAGACUGUUCAAGAUUGUCAAGAUAUUUCUCACAUGCCUGAUUUAGUUUGUAAGUGUAUUGACAACAAAUGUAGGUUUUUCGAAGCGAAACUACAUGAGUAAUCCAAGAGAGUACACAAACACAACGAAAGGGAAAAUAUUUUUUUAACUACAAAAGAAUCAAAUAAAUUUACUUAAAGCUGGAAUGUUUCAUGUUUUUUCAUUUAAGUUUUGUGUUAUUAACAAAUAAUUUUAAUUUUAAUUUCAUGUACUUCAAAAUUAUGACUUUGUACUCUAAAAUAUUUGUAAUGAAAUUAAAUAUGACACUAAAGAUAACUUCUAUUAUAGUUUAUUA